CUAAGAGCUUACGGUGGAUGCCUUGGCAGCAAUAGGCGACGAAGGACGCGGCAAGCUGCGAUAAGCCUCGGGGAGCCGCAAGCAGGCUUUGAUCCGGGGAUUUCCGAAUGGGGAAACCCUCCCGGAGUAAUGUCCGGGAAUCCCGCCUUGGCGGGAAGCGACACUGGGAGAAGUGAAACAUCUCAGUAACCCAUGGAAGAGAAACCGAAAUGGUAUUCCCUGAGUAGUGGCGAACGAAACGGGAACAGCCUAAACCUCCUGUGGAGUAUAGCCUGCACGCGUUUUCACGGGGGGGGUUGAGGGAGUUGGUCGCCCUGUGGUGCAGACCAGAGGGCCUGUUACAAACCGAACCUGUAGCCGAAUCCCCUGGAAAGGGGAAUCAUAGAAGGUGAUAAUCCUGUAGGCGAAACGGGCGAGGCAGGCUGGACCAGCCACCCAAGUAACACGGGACACGUGAAAUUCCGUGUGAAUCCGGGCCGACCACGGCCUAAGGCUAAAUACUCAUUGCUGACCGAUAGUGAACCAGUACCGUGAGGGAAAGGUGAAAAGUACCCCGGUGAGGGGAGUGAAAUAGUACCUGAAACCGUGAGCUUACAAGCAGUCGGAGCACUAUAGUCCGGCGCGCAAGCGACGGACGAUGUGUGACGGCGUGCCUUUUGCUUAAUGAGCCGGCGAGUUGCUAUGCGCGGCAAGACUAACCCGUAAGGGGCAGUCGCAGCGAAAGCGAGUCCGAAUAGGGCGGCCAAAGUCGCGCGGAGCAGACCCGAAGCCGGGUGAUCUACCCAUGGCCAGGGCGAAACUUCGGUAACACGAAGGGGAGGCCCGAACCUUUGCACGUUGAAAAGUGUCUGGAUGAGCUGUGGGUCGGAGUGAAAAGCUAAUCGAACUCGGUGAUAGCUGGUUCUCCCCGAAAUAGCUUGAGGGCUAGCCUCGCAAAAUGGACAGCGGAGGUAGAGCACUGAAUGGUCUAGGGGUCUUACCGGACUACCAAACCCAAUCAAACUCCGAAUUCCGCUGCACCUUAUUGCGGGAGUCAGACAGCGGGGGAUAAGCUUCGUUGUCGAGAGGGAAACAGCCCAGAUCGUCAGCUAAGGCCCCAAAAUGCGGGUUAAGUGCGUAAGGAUGUGGAAUUGCUAAGACAGCUAGUAUGUUGGCUUAGAGGCAGCCAUCAUUUAAAGAGUGCGUAACAGCUCACUAGUCGAGUAAUUCCGCGCCGAUAAUGCUCGGGACUCAAGCCCGCUGCCGAAGCUACGGAUGUCGAUGUCCUGCAUCGACAAUCUCAACCACCCCACGGACGCGCUCCUGGAUGGAGCGGCGUCUCUUCCGGGGACAGGGAUUUGGGAUUUUCGAUGCAGGGCGUCGGCGUGGUAGGGGAGCGUUCCGCACGCGUCGAAGCCGUACCGCAAGGAGCGGUGGAGCGUGCAGAAGUGCUUAUGCCGGCAUGAGUAGCGAUAAUCCCGUUGAGAAAACGGGACGCCGAAAACCCAAGGUUUCCUGGGGAAGGUUAAUCCGCCCAGGGUUAGUCGAUACCUAAGUCGAGGCCGAAAGGCGUAGAUGAUGGAUGAGCCGUUAAUAUUCGGCUACUACCUUGACGGCGUUGUCGGGCGCAAGCCCGGCAGUGCUAUGGAGUCGCGCAGGAGGCUAGGUCAGCCCCCGAUCGGAAGUGGGGGUCCAAGCCUGUAGAGGGUCCCGGCAGGAAAAUCCACCGGGACAUCAACCUCAAGGGGUGACGGGACGCCGAUCCCACGGGAGAGGCGGAUUGAUCGAUGCCACGCUGCCAAGAAAAGGCUUCUAUGCAGUCGUCAGGGUAAUCGUACCGUAAACCGACACAGGUGGGAGGGGUGAAUAUCCUAAGGCGCUCGAGAGAACCCUCGUUAAGGAACUCGGCAAUCUAGCCCCGUAACUUCGGAAGAAGGGGUGCCCUUUCCCGUGAGAUCCUCGCGGAUGGAGCGGGAUGGGGCCGCAGUGAAAGGGUCCAGGCGACUGUUUACUAAAAACACAGGUCUCUGCUAAGUCGAAAGACGAUGUAUAGAGACUGACAAGUGACCAAUGCCGAAAGGUUAAGGUGAGGGGUCAGCUCGCGAUUAUAUCAAGGGCAAAGCUCUGAACCGAAGCCCCGGUGAAUGUCGGCCGUAACUAUAACGGUCCUAAGGUAGCGAAAUUCCUUGUCGGGUAAGUUCCGACCUGCACGAAUCUUGUAACGAUCUGGACGCUGUCUCGACGAGGGGCUCGGCGAAAUUGAGGUAGCGGUGAAGACUCCGCUUACCCGCGGAAAGACGGAAAGACCCCGUGAACCUUUACUGUAGCCUGAUAUUGGAUUUCGGUUCGAUCUGUGUAGGAUAGGUGGGAGGCUUUGAGGCUCCGGCGCCAGCCGGAGCGGAGCCGUCCUUGAAAUACCACUCUCUUCGCACUGGAAUUCUAACCCCGUGUCGUGAAACCGGCCGGGGAACAUUGUCAGGUGGGCAGUUUGACUGGGGCGGUUUCCUCCCAAAGUGUAACGGAGGGGCACAAAGGUUCCCUCAGCACGGUCGGCAAUCGUGCAUAGAGCGUAAAGGUAUAAGGGAGCUUGACUGCGAGUCCUACCAGACGAGCAGGUGCGAAAGCAGGUCUUAGUGAUCCGGCGGUUGAAUGUGGAAUUGCCGUCGCUCAUCGGACAAAAGGUACUCCGGGGAUAACAGGCUUAUCGCUCCCAAGAGUUCAUAUCGACGGAGCGGUUUGGCACCUCGAUGUCGGCUCAUCAUAUCCUGGGGCUGGAGAAGGUCCCAAGGGUUCGUCUGUUCGCCGAUUAAAAUGGUACGUGAGCUGGGUUUAGAACGUCGUGAGACAGUUCGGUCCCUAUCUUCCGUGGGCGCAGGAUAUUUGAGGAGGUCGGUCCCUAGUACGAGAGGACCGGGAUUGACGGACCUCUGGUGUUCCAGUUGUCGUGCCAACGGCAUUGCUGGGUAGCUAUGUCCGGAAAGGAUAAGCGCUGAAAGCAUCUAAGCGCCAAGCCCUCUCCAAGAUCAGAUAUCCCUAUGAGACCCCUCGUAGAUCACGAGGUUGAUAGGCCGGGGGUGUAAGGCCCGCAAGGGCUUCAGCCUACCGGUACUAAUCGGUCCAUCGUCUUAACC
This 3110-nucleotide ribosomal RNA is filed under the name bioreactor metagenome. RNAcentral describes it as "bacterial LSU rRNA". It matches the Rfam family "Bacterial large subunit ribosomal RNA". The record is from RNAcentral.